GUAGGUGAACCUGCGGAAGGAUCAUUACCAAUCCAAAACCCCUUUUUCUAUCAACACGCCCAUGUGAACCGAGAAUGGUUUCGUUCCCUUCCUCGAGGAAAACAAAAAGAAGAAAAAAAAAAAGGAAAAAAAGAAGGAAAUCAAAGGUCUCCCUUUGGUUUUGUUUUUAGUUUUCUUUGCUUUUUUUUCUUUCUUUCUUUUUCCUCCUUGGAAAGGAAGGGAAUGUACUUUUUUUUUUCAACCCCUUUACAACCAUAUCAACCCAUAUUUUCUAUGCUGAAAGCAAAACAAAAACGAAACAUGAGACAACUUUUAACGGUGGAUCUCUUGGCUCGU
Molecule: unclassified non-coding RNA, 336 nt
Filed under: rhizosphere metagenome
Description: partial ribosomal RNA internal transcribed spacer region
Source: RNAcentral